RNAcentral lists this ribosomal RNA (487 nucleotides) under uncultured bacterium. RNAcentral's name for it is "bacterial SSU rRNA". It matches the Rfam family "Bacterial small subunit ribosomal RNA", at positions 17 to 529 of the family's 1533-position model. The record is from RNAcentral.
UUCUGGCUCAGAACGAACGCUGGCGGCGUGGAUAAGACAUGCAAGUCGAACGGAUAUUAUCACAUUAGCAAUAAUGUGAUAAUAUUAGUGGCAAACGGGUGAGUAAUACGCAAAUACAUACCAAAGAGUUUGGAAUAACGCAAAGAAAUUUGUGCUAAUACCAAAUAACCUAUUAUAGGGAAAAGUUUAUCUGCUUUUUAAUUGGUUUUGCGGCCUAUCAGCUAGUUGGUGAGGUAAUGGCUCACCAAGGCUACAACGGGUAGCUGAUCUGAGAGGAUGAUCAGCCACACUGGAACUGAGAAACGGUCCAGACGCCUACGGGUGGCAGCAGUCGAGAAUCUUUCACAAUGGGGGGCAACCCUGAUGGAGCGACGCCGCGUGGAGGAUACGGUCUUCGGAUCUUAAACUCCUGUCAUGUAAGAAAAAUUGAUUGUACUACAAGAGGAAGAGGCGGCAAACUCUGUGCCAGCAGCCGCGGUAAUACAGA